GUUCAUUGGAAAUUACCUCUGGCAUUGGCUUUGAUGGUUGUAUGGGGGAUGAGAUUUGCUUCUCAGAACCACUAGGAGUCUCAGAUCACCACUUGCUAUGCCAGUGUGGGAGUGUGAAAUCCAGGCUCUGACAGCC
Molecule: small nucleolar RNA, 136 nt
Organism: Meriones unguiculatus (Mongolian gerbil)
Lineage: Eukaryota; Metazoa; Chordata; Mammalia; Rodentia; Muridae
Source: Ensembl